GCUCCGGUGGCCUAGUGGUUAGAGCGUCAGCCUCGGAUGCGGAAGGUCGUGAGUUCAAUCCCAGGUCGAGUCA
Potamilus streckersoni is the source of this 73-nucleotide non-coding RNA. Lineage: Eukaryota; Metazoa; Mollusca; Bivalvia; Unionida; Unionidae. The record is from the annotation of a GenBank genome assembly.